This 253-nucleotide ribosomal RNA is filed under the name uncultured bacterium. RNAcentral describes it as "partial 16S ribosomal RNA". It matches the Rfam family "Bacterial small subunit ribosomal RNA", at positions 524 to 776 of the family's 1533-position model. The record is from RNAcentral.
UACGGAGGGAGCUAGCGUUGUUCGGAAUUACUGGGCGUAAAGCGCACGUAGGCGGCUUUGUAAGUUAGAGGUGAAAGCCCGGGGCUCAACCCCGGAAUUGCCUUUAAGACUGCAUCGCUUGAAUCCGGGAGAGGUGAGUGGAAUUCCGAGUGUAGAGGUGAAAUUCGUAGAUAUUCGGAAGAACACCAGUGGCGAAGGCGACUCGCUGGACAAGUAUUGACGCUGAGGUGCGAAAGCGUGGGGAGCAAACAGG